AGUACGUUUGCUCCUGGCUCAGGAGACGCUGGCGGCGUGCUUAACACAUGCAAGUCGAACGGAAAGGCCCUGCUUUUGUGGGGUGCUCGAGUGGCGAACGGGUGAGUAACACGUGAGUAACCUGCCCUUGACUUUGGGAUAACUUCAGGAAACUGGGGCUAAUACCGGAUAGGAGCUCCUGCUGCAUGGUGGGGGUUGGAAAGUUUCGGCGGUUGGGGAUGGACUCGCGGCUUAUCAGCUUGUUGGUGGGGUAGUGGCUUACCAAGGCUUUGACGGGUAGCCGGCCUGAGAGGGUGACCGGCCACAUUGGGACUGAGAUACGGCCCAGACUCCUACGGGAGGCAGCAGUGGGGAAUUUUCCGCAAUGGGCGAAAGCCUGACGGAGCAAUGCCGCGUGGAGGUGGAAGGCCUACGGGUCGUCAACUUCUUUUCUCGGAGAAGAAACAAUGACGGUAUCUGAGGAAUAAGCAUCGGCUAACUCUGUG
Molecule: ribosomal RNA, 485 nt
Filed under: uncultured Propionibacterium sp.
Lineage: Bacteria; Bacillati; Actinomycetota; Actinomycetes; Propionibacteriales; Propionibacteriaceae
Description: bacterial SSU rRNA
Rfam family: Bacterial small subunit ribosomal RNA
Source: RNAcentral